This 409-nucleotide unclassified non-coding RNA is filed under the name soil metagenome. RNAcentral describes it as "partial contains 5.8S ribosomal RNA, internal transcribed spacer 2, and large subunit ribosomal RNA". The stretch from base 1 to 121 matches the Rfam family "5.8S ribosomal RNA", at positions 35 to 154 of the family's 154-position model. The record is from RNAcentral.
GAUGAAGAACGUAGCGAAAUGCGAUAAGUAGUGUGAAUUGCAGAAGUACCGUGAAUCAUCGAAUCUUUGAACGCAAAUUGCACUCUCUGGUAUUCCGGGGAGUAUGCCUGUUUGAGGGUCGCUUAACAAACCAUCGAUUUCGUUGCUUUUUUUUUAAAAAGUGAUGUUUAUCGGAUUUGAGCCGUCUUUUUUUUUAUAUUUAAGUGGCUUAAAAUUGAUUUUUUUGGUACGAUCGAAGCGUAUUUUUAUGAUCAAUUUUUGGUUAAAGAAACGCACGCGUACCGUUAUUUAUAUGAUGUAAUACGUUUGACUAUUGGAUUUAGUUCAUUCGUAUACGAUAUUUUUCAAUAUUUGACCUCAAAUCAGGUAAGAACACCCGCUGAACUUAAGCAUAUCAAUAAGCGGAGGA